AUUUAUUUCCGACGCAAACUUUGCUUUUCGGGCGGCUGCUUGAGGACUACGAGUGUGUGCUUAAAACUCAAAGAACUUGGCGGCUUGUCAACUUCCUAGGGGAAUAUGCGCCUUAAUCCGAUGAUCCCCGUCGAAUCUUACUGGGCCUUGAAAGAGUGCAGUUGGUGUAUUGCCGUUGUCAGCUUGUUGUUCGAGCAAAAAGGAACGAGCUCAAUGGGGCUGGUUGAUUAUUUCGCUGGUACCCGCGAAUUCAGGUCGUAAUGCCGCCGAUGGCCCAAGGGAGUGGGUGUUACAGUUUAUAUUUAAAAUUACGGAUCCCUAUUUUGAAAUAUUGGGGUGAAGGUGAACUUAGAAGUAAGGGGAAAUUAAUAUGUUUCCCUGAAUUUGAGUCUGGCUUGAGUACAAACUGCCCGUCGCUCUCGCCGUGAGGUGAGAU
Molecule: ribosomal RNA, 436 nt
Filed under: Mirapecten mirificus
Lineage: Eukaryota; Metazoa; Mollusca; Bivalvia; Pectinida; Pectinidae
Description: partial 12S ribosomal RNA
Rfam family: Bacterial small subunit ribosomal RNA
Source: RNAcentral